Molecule: ribosomal RNA, 253 nt
Filed under: uncultured bacterium
Lineage: Bacteria
Description: partial 16S ribosomal RNA
Rfam family: Bacterial small subunit ribosomal RNA
Source: RNAcentral
UACGGAGGGUGCAAGCGGUAUCCGGAAUCACUGGGCGUAAAGGGCGAGUAGGCUGUGUGGUGUGUCUGAUGUGAAAGACCUAGGCUUAACCUAGGAAAUGCAUUGGAUCCUACCAUGCUAGAGUGCGAUAGAGGGUGGCAGAAUUCCAAGUGUAGAGGUGAAAUUCGUAGAUACUUGGAGGAAUACCUGAGGCGAAGGCGGCCACCUGGAUCGUAACUGACGCUGAGGCGCGAAAGCGUGGGUAGCAAACAGG